Brachypodium distachyon (stiff brome) is the source of this 1337-nucleotide RNA transcript. It is a transcript of the gene named probable plastid-lipid-associated protein 10, chloroplastic, with no coding region annotated. Lineage: Eukaryota; Viridiplantae; Streptophyta; Magnoliopsida; Poales; Poaceae. The record is from RefSeq and is a predicted model, not a curated record. The transcript is spliced from 9 exons.
CUCUGGCCAACGGCAACAGAUCGGCCAUUCACGGCUCCUGCCCAAUAGAGCGCAGCAGAAAAACAUGGCGCUCGCCGCCGCUCCCCUCCGCCGGUUCCAGACCACUCCUCCACGACCACAGCCGUUUUCGGCUCCUCAGAGACACGCCCGCCUCCGCCCGCGGCACCUACAGCGGAGCCCUCCUCCAAUCCUCACCGCCGCGGCCGUUGCCCCGCUCACCGCAGCGGACACGGAGGAGCGGAAGCACGAGCUACUGCGCGCGGUGCAGGAGACGGGGCGCGGCUCCGCGGCCGGCCCCGACCAGCGCGCGGCCAUCGAGGAGGCCAUCGUGUGCAUGGAAGAGCUCGGCGCCGGGGAGGGGACGCCGCUGGACCUCGCGGCGCUCGACGGGACCUGGAGGCUGUGCUACACGUCGGCGUCGGACGUGCUCGUGCUGUUCGAGGCGGCCGACAGGCUCCCUCUCCUGCAGAUUGGGCAAAUAUACCAGAAAUUCGAAUGCAAGGAUAGGUCGGAUGGUGGAGUUGUGCGGAAUGUUGUGCGGUGGAGCAUUGAGAACUUGCUGGAGGAGCAAGAAGGUGCAACAUUGAUGGUUUCUGCAAAAUUUGAUGUUCUGUCUAAGCGCAACAUAUUUCUUCAGUUCGAGGAGGUUGCUGUAGAAAACAUCAAGAUUAGCGAGCAGCUACAAGCACUAAUAGCUCCUGCUAUACUUCCUCGGUCAUUUUUUAGUCUUCAGAUAUUGCAGUUCCUUAAAACUUUUCGAGCUCAAGUUCCUGUCAACGGCCCUGAAAGACGAUCACCUGGAGGAUUAUACUAUCUUUCUUACCUUGACCGUGAUAUGCUCCUGGGGCGAUCAGUUGGUGGUGGUGGGGUUUUUGUUUUCACAAGAGCCCAGCCUCUUUUAUGAAGAGCACAACAUAUGAUGACAUGCCGGUUAUAGUUGGGCUUACCUAUAUACAAGUGCAGACAAGGACGUUUCCCUCCUUCCAGGUUCGCGUCUGAAUGCACUACUCCUGAUUAAAGAUGAAGUCACCCUGUUUUGAAACAGGGUCGGGUCAGCUAGCUUGUACUCCUACACUUCCACCGUUCAUGGUAUCCUCUGGAACUCCGUGAAAAUGUCCUGUUUUCUGGUGAGCUCGACUAUUUGUCCAUUUCACACCCAACCAGUUACCUAUAAGCUUGCUAAUUUCCAGGAUGCAAAGGUCCGUGAUCAGGAGGGGGAGAUAUGCCUCUCCGUUUUCUUUUAUAUUCCAACAACAUUAAAUCAGUCAACUCUGUUCUGGAUGAUCGAUGUUGCUCAAUCUCGGCCGUUUCCUUAUUUUCAUUUGUUGUUUGAUUUA